This 254-nucleotide ribosomal RNA is filed under the name uncultured microorganism. RNAcentral's name for it is "partial 16S ribosomal RNA". It matches the Rfam family "Archaeal small subunit ribosomal RNA", at positions 474 to 727 of the family's 1478-position model. The record is from RNAcentral.
CACCGGCAGCCCGAGUGGUGGCCACUAUUAUUGGGUCUAAAGCGUCCGUAGCCGGCUUGGCAAGUCCCCUGGGAAAUCUGGCGGCUUAACCGUCAGGCGUCCAGAGGAUACUGCCAGGCUUGGGACCGGGAGAGGUGAGAGGUACCUCAGGGGUAGGGGUGAAAUCUUGUGAUCCCUGAGGGACCACCAGUGGCGAAGGCGUCUCACUAGAACGGGUCCGACGGUCAGGGACGAAAGCUGGGGGCACGAACCGG